This 846-nucleotide ribosomal RNA is filed under the name uncultured Sebacinales. RNAcentral describes it as "eukaryotic LSU rRNA". The stretch from base 194 to 846 matches the Rfam family "Eukaryotic large subunit ribosomal RNA", at positions 1 to 637 of the family's 3401-position model. The record is from RNAcentral. Lineage: Eukaryota; Fungi; Basidiomycota; Agaricomycetes; Sebacinales.
UUAUUCGACGGGCGGUGGACUUGGAUGCUGCCGCGUUAAGCGGCUCGUCUUAAUGCAUUAGUGCAACUUUCGGUUGGACAUAGUACAGCGUGAUAAGUAUCUUCGCUGGCUCUCCUCACGGAGGUGUUCGAACGUUAAGCUCUGUGCUUCUAAUCGUCCCCUGGUGGACUAAGCUUCGGCUUACUUGACAACUUGACCUCAAAUCGGGUAGGACUACCCGCUGAACUUAAGCAUAUCAAUAAGCGGAGGAAAAGAAACUAACAAGGAUUCCCCUAGUAACGGCGAGUGAAGAGGGAAGAGCUCAAAUUUUGAAUCUGGCGUCUUCGGCGUCCGAGUUGUAAUCUAAAGAAGUGUUUUCCGCGAUGGACCGUGCACAAGUCUCCUGGAACGGUGCGUCAUAGAGGGUGAGAAUCCCGUAUAUGGCACGGACUACCAUUGCUCUGUGAUACACUCUCGACGAGUCGAGUUGUUUGGGAAUGCAGCUCAAAAUGGGUGGUAAAUUCCAUCUAAAGCUAAAUAUUGGCGAGAGAUCCUGAUAGCGAACAAGUACCGUGAGGGAAAGAUGAAAAGCACUUUGGAAAGAGAGUGAAACAGUCACGUGAAAUUGUUGAAAGGGAAACGCUUGAAGUCAGUCGCGCUCAUUUGGAUUCAGCCUGGCUUUUGCCUGGUUUACUUCCUUGUGGGCGGGUCAACGUCAGUUUUGACCGGAGGAAAAAGCUUUGAGAAAUGUGGCAGCUUGCUGUGUUAUAGUCUCUUGGUGUAUACUUCGGUUGGGACUGAGGACCGCAGCGCGCCUUACGGCCGGGGUUCGCCCACGUACUGCGCUUAGGAUGUGGCAUAAUGCUA